CAGGAUGAACGCUGGCGGGCGUGCUUAACACAUGCAAGUCGAGCGAAGCGCUUAAGUUUGAUCUUCGGAUGAAGACUUUUGUGACUGAGCGGCGGACGGGUGAGUAACGCGUGGGUAACCUGCCUCAUACAGGGGGAUAACAGUUAGAAAUGGCUGAUAAUACCGCAUAAGACCACAGUACUGCAUGGUACAGUGGUAAAAACUCCGGUGGUAUGAGAUGGACCCGCGUCUGAUUAGGUAGUUGGUGAGGUAACGGCCCACCAAGCCGACGAUCAGUAGCCGACCUGAGAGGGUGACCGGCCACAUUGGGACUGAGACACGGCCCAGACUCCUACGGGAGGCAGCAGUGGGGAAUAUUGCACAAUGGGCGAAAGCCUGAUGCAGCGACGCCGCGUGAAGGAUGAAGUAUUUCGGUAUGUAA
RNAcentral lists this ribosomal RNA (421 nucleotides) under uncultured Lachnospiraceae bacterium. Its description in RNAcentral is "bacterial SSU rRNA". It matches the Rfam family "Bacterial small subunit ribosomal RNA", at positions 25 to 428 of the family's 1533-position model. The record is from RNAcentral. Lineage: Bacteria; Bacillati; Bacillota; Clostridia; Lachnospirales; Lachnospiraceae.